Molecule: RNA transcript, 1778 nt
Organism: Armigeres subalbatus
Lineage: Eukaryota; Metazoa; Arthropoda; Insecta; Diptera; Culicidae
Exons: 4
Source: RefSeq, a predicted model, not a curated record
AAAGUACCCAAAGCGAAGUGUUGACCUUUCACUUCAGUUUGGCUGAAAAAACACUUUGCAAAUCAUCAGUCAAGAAGCAUGUUCCGCAGAGUGUUUGCUUUAAAAUAUUUCGUUUUCUGGAAUUAAAUACGUAAGGUCUUCGGGAAAACCAACCAAUUUCACGGCGGAAGUUUGGCACGAAGACGAGUUGCGAGAGCAACUGAGAAGCAGUAUCAUGAAAAAUAUGUCUUUUUUUUCUCCGAGGUCCAUCCGUCUUCAGUAUAUUCGUUUGGAUUACUUGGGAAUGUGCAUACAGGUCAAGAAUAUAUAUGCAACAUGAGGGACCAGAUAUUCUAUACCGCUGCCGAUUGUGCAAGUUCCGGACAUUUUUUUUCUACGUUUCGAGUUGUGUAAAAUGUAUAUAGUGUAGAUAGUGUUAUAAUCGAUUAAAUGGGUUAAACCCUUUCAGAGAUGAAACGAUAUUUGAGAAGCGAGAGAGUAAAAACGAUAAAUUACGAUGUUCGGUUUCCUUCAAUAAAUGCUCACUGAAGUCGUUCUCUUAUACCUUGAACGCCAACUUGAGUAGACGUGUUUUUAAUUAUCAGGAUUUAAGAAACCCCAUUUUGGAUAUACUUUAAGUGGACGACGAGUGAAAACCGAUUAAAUUAUUUGUGGAAUUGUUGGAUCCAAUUGUGAACAAGAGAAACUAAUCUAUUUCGUAGCGGCUAGUGAAAACUGGAAGCGUGCAUAGGAGGGCCGUGUAGCGAAAAAUUUUAACAUUCAGUGUUCCAACAAGUGGAAUGAAAAAAAUCUGUAAACGGAUGAAAUUGUAGUUUAAACAACUAGCUGUCCCAGGUGAAAGUAAAAAAAAAAAUUAGUGAAAAAAAAAAAAAAGUAAAACGGGAAACUAAGUUAUAUAGAAACUGUACCACAUGGUUUGUGGGAAGAAACGUGGCCAUUGAAGUUGCAUUAUCCCACUUGGUCCGCCAUUUUGAAGGUGUAGAAGUGGGGUCGAAGAGAUUUUGAAUAAGUAUUUUGGAAGAAGCAGUGAGAGUGAGUGGUUGGAAGCAACGGUGAGUUGUAUAAAACAAUAAGUGUAGCGAUUAGCGAAGAAUAUAGCGAAAAUAACUCAGUGGUGUUAGUAACAGAAACAAGCGAACGGUGAUUAAGUUUAACAAAAGAGCGAGAACAUAGAAAGAAAAUAAAAGAGUGGAAGAAGAAGAGUCGGUGAAAAGAGAGAGUACAGUCGACGUGUGACAACCGCCGGCGAGGCCGACACUGGAAAGGGUGAGCGUCGAUGAGACGAGAGUCGAAGAGAGUUGAGUGAACGAAAGUAAAGCGAGCAUCAGUGAGACGAACACUGGUGAGAAGAGCACUGGUGAGACAAGCACUGGUGAGACGAACAUCGUGAGGUAAUCUUCAACCGAUUCGAUUGCAAGAUACACGAGAUAGUAAGAAACUGAGAUCAAGCACAAUUGCAAUGCACAUCGAAAUCAACUAAAGGUCAUGGUUCCACGACAAUCCAGGUCGACGAUCCGGUUGCCAAUACAAAGACAGAAACGACGACGAGCAUCAAUUGACACUGAGGAAGAGUUUUUCGGGUUCCAGAAUGAAGAGAUCGCUGCUAGGAAGGACUAUGCCAAGCAAGGGAAACAAGAGCAUACAAGAACUAGCCCCAUCAGAACGCGAAGCAUUUCGCGAUCGAAAAGAAGAAAAGUCGAUGAAGAAAAUUGAAACGUUUGAAAGACCCAGUAGCAAUGUGUACAGUCGUAAUUUGACAUUGAGUCCUGGGAUACGCA